UGAACGCUGGCGGCGUGCCUAAUACAUGCAAGUCGAGCGAACAGAUGAGGAGCUUGCUCCUCUGACAUUAGCGGCGGACGGGUGAGUAACACGUGGAUAACCUACCUAUAAGACUGGGAUAACUUCGGGAAACCGGAGCUAAUACCGGAUAAUAUAUUGAACCGCAUGGUUCAAUAGUGAAAGACGGUUUUGCUGUCACUUAUAGAUGGAUCCGCGCCGCAUUAGCUAGUUGGUAAGGUAACGGCUUACCAAGGCAACGAUGCGUAGCCGACCUGAGAGGGUGAUCGGCCACACUGGAACUGAGACACGGUCCAGACUCCUACGGGAGGCAGCAGUAGGGAAUCUUCCGCAAUGGGCGAAAGCCUGACGGAGCAACGCCGCGUGAGUGAUGAAGGUCUUCGGAUCGUAAAACUCUGUUAUUAGGGAAGAACAAAUGUGUAAGUAACUAUGCACGUCUUGACGGUACCUAAUCAGAAAGCCACGGCUAACUACGUG
Molecule: ribosomal RNA, 495 nt
Filed under: uncultured bacterium
Lineage: Bacteria
Description: partial 16S ribosomal RNA
Rfam family: Bacterial small subunit ribosomal RNA
Source: RNAcentral